GCCCACGUGGUGGAAUUGGUAGACACGCUAUCUUGAGGGGGUAGUGGCGAAAGCUGUGUCGGUUCGAGUCCGACCGUGGGCACCA
RNAcentral lists this transfer RNA (85 nucleotides) under Gammaproteobacteria bacterium. Its description in RNAcentral is "tRNA-Leu". It matches the Rfam family "tRNA". From Rfam's summary of the family: Transfer RNA (tRNA) molecules are approximately 80 nucleotides in length. Their secondary structure includes four short double-helical elements and three loops (D, anti-codon, and T loops). The record is from RNAcentral. Lineage: Bacteria; Pseudomonadati; Pseudomonadota; Gammaproteobacteria. RNAcentral also lists the same sequence under 2 other names.